GAUGAACGCUGGCGGCGUGCCUAAUACAUGCAAGUCGAGCGAACGGACGAGAAGCUUGCUUCUCUGAUGUUAGCGGCGGACGGGUGAGUAACACGUGGAUAACCUACCUAUAAGACUGGGAUAACUUCGGGAAACCGGAGCUAAUACCGGAUAAUAUUUUGAACCGCAUGGUUCAAAAGUGAAAGACGGUCUUGCUGUCUCUUAUAGAUGGAUCCGCGCUGCAUUAGCUAGUUGGUAAGGUAACGGCUUACCAAGGCAACGAUGCAUAGCCGACCUGAGAGGGUGAUCGGCCACACUGGAACUGAGACACGGUCCAGACGCCUACGGGAGGCAGCAGUAGGGAAUCUUCCGCAAUGGGCGAAAGCCUGACGGAGCAACGCCGCGUGAGUGAUGAAAGUCUUCGGAUCGUAAAACUCUGUUAUUAGGGAAGAACAUAUGUGUAAGUAACUGUGCACAUCUUGACGGUACCUAAUCAGAAAGCCACGGCUAACUACGUG
This 497-nucleotide ribosomal RNA is filed under the name uncultured bacterium. RNAcentral's name for it is "partial 16S ribosomal RNA". It matches the Rfam family "Bacterial small subunit ribosomal RNA", at positions 28 to 507 of the family's 1533-position model. The record is from RNAcentral.